Peromyscus maniculatus bairdii (prairie deer mouse) is the source of this 1105-nucleotide non-coding RNA. The record is from RefSeq and is a predicted model, not a curated record. NCBI's taxonomy places the organism in Eukaryota, Metazoa, Chordata, Mammalia, Rodentia, Cricetidae.
GGGCAGUUUUAAGUUGGUGAGUGUGCCAUGAGACAUGCCAAGGACUGCAAUGGUUAGGUCAUCUGCGUUUUGGGAUGUCUGAAAUAUUUCUGAAAUAAAAGGUUAAGAAACAUCCUGUGGUGGUCUCACCUGUGAGAGUGGAGCAGAGCAGGCGUAGGGGUGAAUGCACGAGACGUGAGUGGGCUGGGGCGGGAGUGGGAGGGUGUAGAGCGCCCCUGGUCCUCCAUCCUGGAGUGGUGGGGACCAGCAUCCUUUCAGAAUUAGAGCCUGAUUCACAACCUGCAGCUACUGCUUAGCCCGAAGUAGCACCGCCCGCCCACACUGAGGGGAGGUAGGGAGAGGGGAGAGCAGCAAUUUUUCCCAGGAUCCCCUGGGGAGUCCCUGUGUGUGCUGGGCGUGGGCCUGGAAGGACAGAUGGGCUGGGUCAGCAGCUGGCAGGACCCUCCACCCUCUCUGGGGAGCAUCCCCACCACAGCCAUCCUAUUCUGUCCUAGAGUUAAGCUACCCCUUUUCCUCUCCUCCCCGCCCCGUUGGCCUCAGUUUCCCCAGCUUCAUGAACCCAAGCCAAGCUGGGGGAGGGGCAGGAGUAGGAAGGUAGACCUGCUUACUGAAUGCCCACCACCAUCCCACUGCAUUCCACAGGCAGGCUUUAGUCCUGUAGGAAAAGUACCUGGGAGGAAGGUGCUUAUCCGGAGACAGGCACUAGAAGGAUCUCUCCCAGCUGGAUGGCCUCUCAGAAGGCCCUGACCUGCCGCGUAUCUUCCUUACAGCAGAUCUGUAAGGUCCUGGGUUGUUUUACUGGUGGUGGUUCAGAGAGGCUAAGCCACUGUUCAAGGCUGUUCAGCAAGGAAGAGGUCACCUGGAGGCAGGAGAGACUGGGAAGGACAGAGCUGGUCCCUAAAGGUCACACAAGAGGUUUGGUUUCUACCAUGGAAAAUGGGAGGAAGAAGCCAGGCUUGGAAGUGUCCCAGAAGAGGAAGGGAGGGAGGGCCUGGGCUGGCCAGCCCCACCUGGGUGCAAACAGUUGGAACAAAGACCCACCCCACCCUGGCUGCCCUGGUGCCUGGCCCUGUGGGAUCCUAAAGACAGUGGUCACCCUGCUCAA